Vespa mandarinia (Asian giant hornet) is the source of this 135-nucleotide long non-coding RNA. The record is from RefSeq and is a predicted model, not a curated record. Lineage: Eukaryota; Metazoa; Arthropoda; Insecta; Hymenoptera; Vespidae.
UGAUAUCAUGUCGUGUAUAAGUAAUAAUAGUAAUAUUAUGCGACAAAGUAUCCACAUUUAUUUCCUGAAUAAUAUAUACCAAUAGAAAGUGUACAUGUGAAGGGAAAUAAAAAUAAAUGAAUCAAAUAAAUAAAU